RNAcentral lists this ribosomal RNA (590 nucleotides) under Vibrio parahaemolyticus. RNAcentral describes it as "partial 23S ribosomal RNA". It matches the Rfam family "Bacterial large subunit ribosomal RNA", at positions 996 to 1589 of the family's 2925-position model. The record is from RNAcentral. Lineage: Bacteria; Pseudomonadati; Pseudomonadota; Gammaproteobacteria; Vibrionales; Vibrionaceae.
UGCUAACGUCCGUCGUGGAGAGGGAAACAACCCAGACCGCCAGCUAAGGUCCCAAAUUACUACUAAGUGGGAAACGAUGUGGGAAGGCUCAGACAGCCAGGAUGUUGGCUUAGAAGCAGCCAUCAUUAAAGAAAGCGUAAUAGCUCACUGGUCGAGUCGGCCUGCGCGGAAGAUGUAACGGGGCUAAGUAGUAAACCGAAGCUGCGGCAAUAUACUUUUGUAUAUUGGGUAGGGGAGCGUUCUGUAAGCGGUUGAAGGUGUGUGGUAACGCAUGCUGGACGUAUCAGAAGUGCGAAUGCUGACAUGAGUAACGAUAAAGGGGGUGAAAAACCUCCUCGCCGGAAGACCAAGGGUUCCUGUCCAACGUUAAUCGGGGCAGGGUAAGUCGACCCCUAAGGCGAGGCCGAAAGGCGUAGUCGAUGGGAAACGGGUUAAUAUUCCCGUACUUCUUACAAUUGCGAUGGGGGGGACGGAGAAGGCUAGGUGGGCCUGGCGACGGUUGUCCAGGUUCAAGUGCGUAGGCUUAAGAGUUAGGUAAAUCCGGCUCUUUUUAAGGCUGAGACACGACGUCGAGCCACUACGGUGGUGAA